This 118-nucleotide ribosomal RNA is filed under the name Crocodylus porosus (Australian saltwater crocodile). The record is from RNAcentral. Lineage: Eukaryota; Metazoa; Chordata; Crocodylia; Crocodylidae.
GCCUGCAGCCCUACAACCCUCCUGUUGUGAUCUCGGGAGAUCUCACAAGCUAUGCAGGGUCAGGCCUCCUCAGCAGUUGCUUGGGAGACUUCCAAGAAAAAGCUGAAUGCUGCGGGAA